GAAAUGCGAUAAGUAAUGUGAAUUGCAGAAUUCAGUGAAUCAUCGAAUCUUUGAACGCACCUUGUGCUCCUUGGUAUUCCUUGGAGCAUGCCUGUUUGAGUAUCAUGAAAUCUUCAAAGUAAAUCUUUUGUUAACUCAAUUGGUUUCUACUUUGGUAUUGGAGGUCUUUGCAGCUUCACACCUGCUCCUCUUUGUUCAUUAGCUGGAUCUCAGUGUUAUGCUUGGUUCCACUCGGCGUGAUAAGUUAUCUAUCGCUGAGGACACUGUAAAAGGUGGCCAAGGUAGAUGCAGAUGAACCGCUUCUAAUAGUCCAUUGACUUGGACAAUACUUUUAUGAUCUGAUCUCAAAUCAGGUAGGACUACCCGCUGAACUUAAGC
Molecule: unclassified non-coding RNA, 378 nt
Filed under: plant metagenome
Description: partial contains 5.8S ribosomal RNA, internal transcribed spacer 2, and large subunit ribosomal RNA
Rfam family: 5.8S ribosomal RNA (bases 1-105)
Source: RNAcentral